Oncorhynchus keta (chum salmon) is the source of this 397-nucleotide long non-coding RNA. RefSeq lists it as uncharacterized. The transcript is spliced from 4 exons. Lineage: Eukaryota; Metazoa; Chordata; Actinopteri; Salmoniformes; Salmonidae. The record is from RefSeq and is a predicted model, not a curated record.
ACUGACUCAAAAUACUGCCCCCUAUCCAAGAGAGGUUAACCGACUGACUCAAAAUACUGCCCCCUAUCCAAGAGAGGUUAACCGACUGACUCAAAAUACUGGCCCCUACCCAAGAGAGGUUAACCGACUGACUCAAAAUACUGGCCCCUACCCAAGAGAGGUUAACCGACUGACUCAAAAUACUGGCCCCUACCCAAGAGAGAUUAACCGACUGACUCAAAAUACUGCCCCCUACCCAAGAGAGGUUAACCGACUGACUCAAAAUACUGCCCCCUAUCCAAGAGAGGUUAACCGACUGACUCAAAAUACUGCCCCUACCCAAGAGAGGUUACCGACUGACUCAAAAUACUGCCCCCUAUCCAAGAGAGGUUAACCGACUGACUCAAAAUACUGCCCC